RNAcentral lists this transfer RNA (73 nucleotides) under Ovis aries (sheep). It matches the Rfam family "tRNA". From Rfam's summary of the family: Transfer RNA (tRNA) molecules are approximately 80 nucleotides in length. Their secondary structure includes four short double-helical elements and three loops (D, anti-codon, and T loops). Further hydrogen bonds mediate the characteristic L-shaped molecular structure. tRNAs have two regions of fundamental functional importance: the anti-codon, which is responsible for specific mRNA codon recognition, and the 3' end, to which the tRNAs corresponding amino acid is attached (by aminoacyl-tRNA synthetases). tRNAs cope with the degeneracy of the genetic code in two manners: having more than one tRNA (with a specific anti-codon) for a particular amino acid; and 'wobble' base-pairing, i.e. permitting non-standard base-pairing at the 3rd anti-codon position. Lineage: Eukaryota; Metazoa; Chordata; Mammalia; Artiodactyla; Bovidae. The record is from Rfam by way of RNAcentral.
UCCCUGGUAGUCUAGUGGUUAAGACUCAGCACUUUCAAUGGAAGGGGUCCGGGUUUGAUCUCUGGUCAGGGAA